This 259-nucleotide ribosomal RNA is filed under the name uncultured bacterium. Its description in RNAcentral is "partial 16S ribosomal RNA". It matches the Rfam family "Bacterial small subunit ribosomal RNA", at positions 524 to 776 of the family's 1533-position model. The record is from RNAcentral.
UACGAAGGGGGCUAGCGUUGUUCGGAAUCACUGGGCGUAAAGGGCGCGUAGGCGGCUUUGUAAGUCGGGGGGUGAAAGCCUGUGGCUCAACCACAGAAUUGCCCUUCGAUACUGCAUGGCUUGAGACCGGAAAGAGGUAAGUGGAACUGCGAGUGUAGAGGUGAAAAUUCGUAGAUUAUUCGCAAAGAACACCAGUGGCGAAGGCGGCUUACUGGUCCGGUUCUGACGCUGAGGCGCGAAAGCGUGGGGAGCAAACAGG